GUCAGAUUUGUCUCCUGAGGAGGAUGAGUCCUUGCCAGACAAGAAAAGGGAGGAUACAGUGUUGCUUCCGGUUCCUCCACCAAAGAUUAAGCUCUCAAAUAGGGGUGAGUAAAAUAGCUGGGCUGGUCCAGUGGUAUAAUUCAGUUAUCAAACUUCAGGGAAUGGUUGGCAAUAUGAGCAAUAUGUUGCUGUACUGCUUCUGGUUUUGGAAUUUCUUUUAGCAACCACAGGACAAAAUGCAAUGCUGCUCGAGUUACCUGCACCCCUAGAACUGGCUAACACCAUCAAUAGACGACCAGAGAGUCCUGCAUCUUCAGACAUUUCUGGAUGUUCUUGUCCAACGCCUCAUUGUUCACCCACAAGGUCUGAAUCAGCAGAAGCAUUUAGUCCAGGGUCAGCCAGAUCUAACCGUUCUCACACACCUCAGCGUGGAGUUUGUAAUCCAUCACAUUUUGGGAGCAGAAAAGGUUGGGCAUCCUCAUCCAGAUCUAAGCGUUCUCGCACACCUCAGCGUGGAGUUCCAAAUCCAGCACAGUCCGGGAGCAGAAAAGGUCAGGCAUCCUCAUCCAGUGAG
Molecule: long non-coding RNA, 574 nt
Organism: Esox lucius (northern pike)
Lineage: Eukaryota; Metazoa; Chordata; Actinopteri; Esociformes; Esocidae
Exons: 5
Source: RefSeq, a predicted model, not a curated record